CAUGUACUCCCCCCCUUCAGAAUUUCUUGUCGCGGAAAUGGAUGUAUCUAGACGUAUUUUAGUUCUAGAUACAUCCAUUUAUGCGACAAGUAAUUCGGGUCUGGGGGAGUAGUAC
This is a non-coding RNA of Triticum urartu, 115 nucleotides long. Lineage: Eukaryota; Viridiplantae; Streptophyta; Magnoliopsida; Poales; Poaceae. The record is from Rfam.